This 1092-nucleotide long non-coding RNA is filed under the name Anas platyrhynchos platyrhynchos (common mallard). Its description in RNAcentral is "lncRNA (ENSAPLG00000018090.1)". The record is from RNAcentral. Lineage: Eukaryota; Metazoa; Chordata; Aves; Anseriformes; Anatidae.
GAAGAUUUAAUCACUACUUCUAAGUGAACAUCAGCAGAACUAAACAUGGUUCAACAGGAUGUGCCAAGUUCAACCAACAGGGAACAAGCUUUUCCCCACUCUCUGGACCUGGUUGGCCUCCCCAGCCAUUAUGGGAGAGAACUGCUCCUCACUAGCAGCUGGAAAAGACCAGAACAGCUGGGAGACUGCAGUUACAGCUCAGUGUCUGACUAUAUCCUUGCAUUUAGUGACUGCAAAAGAGAUUGUCUUAGAGGAUACCUGCAACUUUUAGCAAUUGUGUUUGCUAAGGAAAUGCAUUCACUUUAUACUCUUUCAUAGCCCUCUAAAGCUACUUUUAUGAAAAUGUCAUUUUUAUUUUAGAUACUGCCAUCAAAAAUAGACAGAAGAAUGUAAAAUGUAUAUACAGGGCUGUGAUUGCUGAACAGAUUGUUUAAGUUAGAGAAACUCUAUAUUUUAUAGUUGUACAAAUAACUCAGAGUUGUUUGGAUUAUGAAACUAAAGAUAACAUGGAAGCUGUAAAAAGACAUUAUGAAAGAAAGAGUGAUUAAAAAAUACCUCUCAGUAGUCUUCCGUAUGCCUUAGAACUUGCCACCAGAAGUGCAAAAUUGUGUCAAGUUUAAUUUCUAGAGAGAUUUUGAAAUCAUUCUGUUUGCUCAUCUUCUUAUUUUUUCUUAUAAUGCUUUACAAUUCAUUUUUGCAGAAGAGUUUAUUUAUUAAAAAUACUAUAAAAGCUUUUACUCCUGGUCAGAAAUUGUUUCCCAAUAACUCACAAUAUUUACUUAUUUUUCUAUUAUCCUGAAUUUAGGGAGGCUUUGUGUAAAGUAUUUAAUUCUAUAAAGUAAUUACAAACUAUUUGCACAAUACUUACAGAAACUUGCUAUUGAGCUGUGUGGUUGCUUGCUUUAGCCCUGUGGUCUUGUUUCUUUCCUAAUCUGGAUGACUCUACCUCAGAAAAAUGUAAAAGGCCCUUAAGGAUGAGCUCCAGCAUGAAGACUGGAGUUAUCUUAUGAAUGGUGUCAAAAGUGACAGCAAGCUCCAAAAUCAACCUGGAAAGUUGCCACUUCACCGGAUGAAGAACCAGUCCAGCAACUG